This 141-nucleotide small RNA is filed under the name Jeotgalicoccus meleagridis. RNAcentral's name for it is "Ribosomal protein L10 leader". It matches the Rfam family "Ribosomal protein L10 leader". From Rfam's summary of the family: This family is a putative r-protein leader autoregulatory structure found in B. subtilis and other low-GC Gram-positive bacteria. It is located in the 5' untranslated regions of mRNAs encoding ribosomal proteins L10 and L12 (rplJ-rplL). A Rho-independent transcription terminator structure that is probably involved in regulation is included at the 3' end. Lineage: Bacteria; Bacillati; Bacillota; Bacilli; Caryophanales; Staphylococcaceae. The record is from RNAcentral.
AAAUUUUAAAAGAUUACCGAAGACAGCAGGAGCUCUAAACAGCUUAAUAAUUAUCCUGCCGAGGCAAAUAAAAACGACUUGAAUUAUAUUUUCAUAAAUUCAAGCACUUUUUGCCGCCGGUAAAAAGUGCUUUUUUUAUUU